This 495-nucleotide ribosomal RNA is filed under the name uncultured bacterium. RNAcentral's name for it is "partial 16S ribosomal RNA". It matches the Rfam family "Bacterial small subunit ribosomal RNA", at positions 28 to 507 of the family's 1533-position model. The record is from RNAcentral.
GACGAACGCUGGCGGCGUGCCUAAUACAUGCAAGUCGAACGCUGAAGGAGGAGCUUGCUUCUCUGGAUGAGUUGCGAACGGGUGAGUAACGCGUAGGUAACCUGCCUGGUAGCGGGGGAUAACUAUUGGAAACGAUAGCUAAUACCGCAUAAGAGUAGAUGUUGCAUGACAUUUGCUUAAAAGGUGCAAUUGCAUCACUACCAGAUGGACCUGCGUUGUAUUAGCUAGUUGGUGGGGUAACGGCUCACCAAGGCGACGAUACAUAGCCGACCUGAGAGGGUGAUCGGCCACACUGGGACUGAGACACGGCCCAGACUCCUACGGGAGGCAGCAGUAGGGAAUCUUCGGCAAUGGACGGAAGUCUGACCGAGCAACGCCGCGUGAGUGAAGAAGGUUUUCGGAUCGUAAAGCUCUGUUGUAAGAGAAGAACGAGUGUGAGAGUGGAAAGUUCACACUGUGACGGUAGCUUGCCAGAAAGGGACGGCUAACUACGUG